GACGAACGCUGGCGGCGUGCUUAACACAUGCAAGUCGAACGGUAAGGCCCUUCGGGGUACACGAGUGGCGAACGGGUGAGUAACACGUGGGUGAUCUGCCCUGCACUUCGGGAUAAGCCUGGGAAACUGGGUCUAAUACCGGAUAGGACCACUGCCUGCAAGGGCGGUGGUGGAAAGCUUUUGCGGUGUGGGAUGGGCCCGCGGCCUAUCAGCUUGUUGGUGGGGUGAUGGCCUACCAAGGCGACGACGGGUAGCCGGCCUGAGAGGGUGACCGGCCACACUGGGACUGAGAUACGGCCCAGACUCCUACGGGAGGCAGCAGUGGGAAUAUUGCACAAUGGGCGCAAGCCCGAUGCAGCGACGCCGCGUGAGGGAUGACGGCCUUCGGGUUGUAAACCUCUUUCAGCACAGACGAAGCGCAAGUGACGGUAGGUGCAGAAGAAGGACCGGCCAACUACGUGCCAGCCGCCGCGGUAA
RNAcentral lists this ribosomal RNA (477 nucleotides) under uncultured bacterium. RNAcentral's name for it is "partial 16S ribosomal RNA". It matches the Rfam family "Bacterial small subunit ribosomal RNA", at positions 28 to 523 of the family's 1533-position model. The record is from RNAcentral.